RNAcentral lists this ribosomal RNA (622 nucleotides) under Exobasidium symploci-japonicae. RNAcentral's name for it is "LSU rRNA". It matches the Rfam family "Eukaryotic large subunit ribosomal RNA", at positions 47 to 658 of the family's 3401-position model. Lineage: Eukaryota; Fungi; Basidiomycota; Exobasidiomycetes; Exobasidiales; Exobasidiaceae. The record is from RNAcentral.
UAAGCGGAGGAAAAGAAACUAACAAGGAUUCCCCUAGUAACGGCGAGUGAAGCGGGAUGAGCUCAAAUUUGAAAGCUGGCAGCAAUGUCCGCGUUGUAAUCUCGAGAGAUGUUUUCCGCGUGAGACCACGUACAUGUUCCUUGGAAUAGGAUGUCAUAGAGGGUGAGAACCCCGUACUUGACGUGGACGCCCCAUGCUUUGUGAUACAUCUUCGAAGAGUCGAGUUGUUUGGGAAUGCAGCUCAAAAUGGGUGGUAAAUUCCAUCUAAAGCUAAAUAUUGGGGAGAGACCGAUAGCGAACAAGUACCGUGAGGGAAAGAUGAAAAGCACUUUGGAAAGAGAGUUAAACAGUACGUGAAAUUGUCAAAAGGGAAGCACUUAAAGUCAGACAUGUAUCGUAGUAUUCAGCCUUGCUUCUGCUUGGUGUUUUUGCUGCAGUACAGGCCAACAUCAGUUUUGGAUGGCGGAUAAGGGUAUGGGGAAUGUGGCACCCUCGGGUGUGUUAUAGCCCUGUACUAGAUACGUCGUCUGGGACUGAGGAACGCAGCGCGCCGUAAGGCAGGCCCUCGGGCACUUUCGCGCUUAGGAUGUUGGCGUAAUGGCUUUAAGUGACCCGUCUYGAA